GACGAACGCUGGCGGCGUGCUUAACACAUGCAAGUCGAACGGAAAGGCCUGCUUUCCCUUGUGGAUUGCGGGUACUCGAGUGGCGAACGGGUGAGUAACACGUGAGUGAUCUGCCCCCAACUUGGGUAUAAGCCUGGGAAACUGGGUCUAAUUCCCGAUAGGACUGCAGGGUGGUGCCUGUGGUGGAAAACGAUUUUCUAGUGGUUGGGGAUGAGCUCGCGGCCUAUCAGCUUGUUGGUGGGGUAAUGGCGUACCAAGGCGGCGACGGGUAGCCGGCCUGAGAGGGUGGACGGCCACAUUGGGACUGAGAUACGGCCCAGACUCCUACGGGAGGCAGCAGUGGGGAAUAUUGCACAAUGGGCGGAAGCCUGAUGCAGCGACGCCGCGUGGGGGAUGACGGCCUUCGGGUUGUAAACUCCUUUCGACCGCGAGGAAGCCACCUGGUUGGAAGGGUGGUGACGGUAGUGGUAGAAGAAGCACCGGCUAACUACGUG
Molecule: ribosomal RNA, 494 nt
Filed under: uncultured bacterium
Lineage: Bacteria
Description: partial 16S ribosomal RNA
Rfam family: Bacterial small subunit ribosomal RNA
Source: RNAcentral